GUAACUUUAAGAAUGGGUUUCAUUCAUCAGGAAACCAAUAUGACAUGAAAAAGAGCUGCUGUCUCCUGACCUGCUGUCCAAGAUAAAUCAACACUUCCUGUCUGUCCGUCCUCAGUCCACUCCCCCUCAGUACAAGGUCCAGGACAUGAAGGUUCCCACCGCGCUGUUUUCAGGGGGACACGAUACGCUGGCGGACCCCAAAGAUGUGGCCGUCCUCCUCACUCAGGUGUCUAACCUGGUGUUCCAUAAGCACAUCGAGCACUGGGACCAUCUGGACUUCAUUUGGGGUCUGGACGCUCCGGAGCAGAUGUUCCCGUCCAUCCUGAAGCUGCUGCAGCAGGACCGCCACUAGAGGGCACCACGCCGAGUGUGUGAGGGCCUGUUCACGUCUGCAGCACAGCGUGGGGACCACUGGACUUUACACCAGCAGCAGGACCUCUAAAGGUUUCAAUGAGGAAAGUGUGUGUGUGUGUGUGUGUGUGUGUGUGUGUGUGUGUGUGUGUGUGUGUGCGUGUGUGCGCGUGUGCGCGUGUGGUGUGUGUGUGUGUGUGUGUGCGUGUGUGUUUUAAGCAGGGCUCUACCUAUAGACCUUUUUUAACAUGUUUUAGUCUGUGCUAAUCUUUGAGAUGAGUCGUCGGUCUAUGAAGUGUCAGAAAGGGUUGAAUCUGAAUAUGAUAUUGAUUAAUGAUCAGAAUAAUAGGAUUGAAUGUAUAACUGAAAAUGAAACUGUGACGUCUAUUCUGUUUUACAGCAAAUUGAACCAGCCAACAAUAUAACAAAUACAUAUCUCUAUCAGCUCUUACAUGUUACUGCAUGAAUAAUAAGCACAUUUGAUAAAGUAUAAAAAGCCCAUUUAGCUUUUUAGUGAGUACUUUUAUAUUUUGAACACAUUUCUUUAUUAUACUUGUAAUGCAGGAUUUAUACUCAAAGCUUUCUAACAUGCAGUAUAAGUGGUUAAAGAAAGACGUUCCCAUCAGCCUUCACUGUGUUCUAUGUCUACUGCGCGUUAGCACGCGUUAGCUUGCUGUUAGCAUGCAGUCGGUGUUCACCUGUUGAAACACCUGGACUGUUACCUCAGAAAACAUCUGUGUACCUCUUUAAAGUGUCUGACCUGCAGGAAGUCACAUGUUCAUAUGUUAUCCUUUCAACCUGUGUGCACAACGCUUAUCCUGCUGCCAAUCAGGAGGAACCACCGCAUCCAAUCAGGAGCCUUGUAGGGGGCGGGGCUUCACUUUGACCGUCUUUUUAUUUUAAUUUCUGACAUUUUCUAAUCUGUUAAAUGUGAACAAUAAUAAAUCAUAACAACAACACACUC
Molecule: long non-coding RNA, 1315 nt
Organism: Notothenia coriiceps (black rockcod)
Lineage: Eukaryota; Metazoa; Chordata; Actinopteri; Perciformes; Nototheniidae
Exons: 2
Source: RefSeq, a predicted model, not a curated record